CAUAACCACUUUUUAGCCUAUAUUUAUACUAACAGAACAGGAAUACAUAUUCUCUACCAAAUUCCGUAAAUGAAACACGUUUAUUGUUAUUUUGUUCCUAUUUUGUUGUCUAUAAUUUAAUCAGUCUACCACAUGUCUGUAACAUAGAGUGAAAUUAAUUUGAUUGAAAACUUUCAAACUUGGUCGGACAUUUUUUCGAUUCUAUUUUGCUUUCAGGCCUUCGUUGGGUUAAUUAUGUACUAUUUUAAAUAGCUUAAAAAACGACCAAUCAAAAGAGUUCAUUG
Non-coding RNA from Paramuricea clavata, 284 nucleotides. Lineage: Eukaryota; Metazoa; Cnidaria; Anthozoa; Malacalcyonacea; Plexauridae. The record is from the annotation of a GenBank genome assembly.